This 1490-nucleotide ribosomal RNA is filed under the name Lactiplantibacillus plantarum. RNAcentral's name for it is "bacterial SSU rRNA". It matches the Rfam family "Bacterial small subunit ribosomal RNA". The record is from RNAcentral. Lineage: Bacteria; Bacillati; Bacillota; Bacilli; Lactobacillales; Lactobacillaceae.
GACGAACGCUGGCGGCGUGCCUAAUACAUGCAAGUCGAACGAACUCUGGUAUUGAUUGGUGCUUGCAUCAUGAUUUACAUUUGAGUGAGUGGCGAACUGGUGAGUAACACGUGGGAAACCUGCCCAGAAGCGGGGGAUAACACCUGGAAACAGAUGCUAAUACCGCAUAACAACUUGGACCGCAUGGUCUGAGUUUGAAAGAUGGCUUCGGCUAUCACUUUUGGAUGGUCCCGCGGCGUAUUAGCUAGAUGGUGGGGUAACGGCUCACCAUGGCAAUGAUACGUAGCCGACCUGAGAGGGUAAUCGGCCACAUUGGGACUGAGACACAGCCCAAACUCCUACGGGAGGCAGCAGUAGGGAAUCUUCCACAAUGGACGAAAGUCUGAUGGAGCAACGCCGCGUGAGUGAAGAAGGGUUUCGGCUCGUAAAACUCUGUUGUUAAAGAAGAACAUAUCUGAGAGUAACUGUUCAGGUAUUGACGGUAUUUAACCAGAAAGCCACGGCUAACUACGUGCCAGCAGCCGCGGUAAUACGUAGGUGGCAAGCGUUGUCCGGAUUUAUUGGGCGUAAAGCGAGCGCAGGCGGUUUUUUAAGUCUGAUGUGAAAGCCUUCGGCUCAACCGAAGAAGUGCAUCGGAAACUGGGAAACUUGAGUGCAGAAGAGGACAGUGGAACUCCAUGUGUAGCGGUGAAAUGCGUAGAUAUAUGGAAGAACACCAGUGGCGAAGGCGGCUGUCUGGUCUGUAACUGACGCUGAGGCUCGAAAGUAUGGGUAGCAAACAGGAUUAGAUACCCUGGUAGUCCAUACCGUAAACGAUGAAUGCUAAGUGUUGGAGGGUUUCCGCCCUUCAGUGCUGCAGCUAACGCAUUAAGCAUUCCGCCUGGGGAGUACGGGCCGCAAGGCUGAAACUCAAAGGAAUUGACGGGGGCCCGCACAAGCGGUGGAGCAUGUGGUUUAAUUCGAAGCUACGCGAAGAACCUUACCAGGUCUUGACAUACUAUGCAAAUCUAAGAGAUUAGACGUUCCCUUCGGGGACAUGGAUACAGGUGGUGCAUGGUUGUCGUCAGCUCGUGUCGUGAGAUGUUGGGUUAAGUCCCGCAACGAGCGCAACCCUUAUUAUCAGUUGCCAGCAUUAAGUUGGGCACUCUGGUGAGACUGCCGGUGACAAACCGGAGGAAGGUGGGGAUGACGUCAAAUCAUCAUGCCCCUUAUGACCUGGGCUACACACGUGCUACAAUGGAUGGUACAACGAGUUGCGAACUCGCGAGAGUAAGCUAAUCUCUUAAAGCCAUUCUCAGUUCGGAUUGUAGGCUGCAACUCGCCUACAUGAAGUCGGAAUCGCUAGUAAUCGCGGAUCAGCAUGCCGCGGUGAAUACGUUCCCGGGCCUUGUACACACCGCCCGUCACACCAUGAGAGUUUGUAACACCCAAAGUCGGUGGGGUAACCUUUUAGGAACCAGCCGCCUAAGGUGGGACAGAUGAUUAGGGUG